This 122-nucleotide ribosomal RNA is filed under the name Flavobacterium columnare. Its description in RNAcentral is "partial 16S ribosomal RNA". It matches the Rfam family "Bacterial small subunit ribosomal RNA", at positions 1382 to 1512 of the family's 1533-position model. Lineage: Bacteria; Pseudomonadati; Bacteroidota; Flavobacteriia; Flavobacteriales; Flavobacteriaceae. The record is from RNAcentral.
UGUACACACCGCCCGUCAAGCCAUGGAAGCUGGGGGUGCCUGAAGUCGGUGACCGCAGGGAGCUGCCUAGGGUAAAACUAGUAACUAGGGCUAAGUCGUAACAAGGUAGCCGUACCGGAAGG